CCUACGGGUGGCAGCAGUGAGGAAUAUUGGUCAAUGGGCGAGAGCCUGAACCAGCCAAGUCGCGUGAGGGAGUACUGCCCUAUGGGUUGUAAACCUCUUUUGUCGGGGAGCAAAAGCCGGACGUGUCCGGCUGUGAGAGGACCCGAAGAAAAAGCAUCGGCUAACUCCGGGCCAGCAGCCGCGGUAAUACGGAGGAUGCGAGCGUUCUCCGGAUUUAGUGGGUGUAAAGGGGGCGCAGGCGGAUUUUUAAGGCAGCGGUCAAAUCGUGGGGCUCAACCCCAUCCAGCCGUUGAAACUGGGGAUCUAGAGUGUGUGAGAGGUAUGCGGCAUGCGUGGUGUCGCGGUGACGUGCAUAGCU
Molecule: ribosomal RNA, 358 nt
Filed under: uncultured bacterium
Lineage: Bacteria
Description: partial 16S ribosomal RNA
Rfam family: Bacterial small subunit ribosomal RNA
Source: RNAcentral